GCUGGCAGCUAGCUCUCUACAACUCUCACAUGGUCGCUCACUGAAGCUUAGCAGGGCUGCACCUGGCCAGUAUCUGGAUGUGAGACCACAUGAGAAAGCUAGGUUGCUGCCGGAA
This 115-nucleotide ribosomal RNA is filed under the name Danio rerio (zebrafish). Lineage: Eukaryota; Metazoa; Chordata; Actinopteri; Cypriniformes; Danionidae. The record is from RNAcentral.